AUAAAUUUAAAAGACCUGGGUUAAGUCCAAACUUUUUUGCUAAGCCCUUAUCCAGACCCAAUAUAUAUGAACUUUACAAUUUUUGGGCCCAUAUCCCAGCCCACCCAUUGCUGAGCCUGGGCUGUGCUUGAUCGGGCCUGGGCCAACCCAUGCUUUUUUGCCACUCCUAUAUAAUGCUAGCCUACUUCACCAGUUGACUUGGUCACAUCAAAGCCUCCAUCACUACAACUUGGCCACACCCAGCCUCUAACGCCAUUAUGGCUUAGCCACACCUUGCUUCCGCCAUUACGACUUGGCCAUACCCGGCCUUUGCCGUUCACGAUGCUGGCGCACUACUGACUAAUUGAUAUGUGAUGGGCAUAAUAUAUUGAUAUAUUUUCCCUCAAAUCAUAUGAUAGUUGGUCUCUUUUAUUUUUAUUUUUAUUUUUAACAAGUUUAUUUAUUUUAUUGAACAGGAAAAUUAACUGGGGAUUUGCGAUUAAAUGAGCAUAAAAGAAUCAAAAUUGGAUAGAUUGAAGCUAUCGGAAUUGUUGCAAAUGGGCUUGGGCAAACGAAAUCUUAUUUGGACCUUUUUAAUGCUUUCCCGUGUAAAAGCAUAAAGCAAUAAGGAAUAUUAUCUAUGGGCAUUAUAUUAGGCAUGCGAAUAUCCAUAUGGACUGCAUGUGAAAGCCCAUUGCAAGGUUUUUAUUUCCUUGAUUUGCAGGAGACGCUGGCUAUAAUCAAAAUAAUAAAAGAAUUUGAUUUGAUUUGGGAAGUCGGUGGCCUAAGCCAAGUCUUCGGCUUUUGCACAGAAAGAGGGGUAGCAGCGCCCAAGAGGAAUUGAAGCGGAGCAGCAGCGACGGCUUGGAGAAAGAGCCAUCCGCUCGGAUUGAUUUCCCCUGACGGUAUUUUCUAUUCUUUUAUCCGCAGUUUAAUUAUGUGUAACUAAAUUUUUUAUAUUAGAAUUAUGGAUAAAGACCUGUUUAAUAAAAUAAAUUGACUUUUUAUUCAAUUAAUUCCCUAUAUGUGUGUUUUGAUAUUUAAUUCUUGUUUCAGAUGUUUAGUUGAAUAUUAUUAAAUUUUUUCACCAAUUCUGUCAUGCAUUAUUGAUUAUUAGAAUUAUUAUUUGACUAAAUCGAUACUUGAAUCCAUAAAGCUUAUAAGUAAUUAUCUUUGAUUAUGUGUCUUUCAUUAAAUUGUUUAUAUAGAGUUGAUUUUGAUUUUUUGCUAUUGCAUAAUGUUUACAUGAUAUGCUUAAAUAUCAUGCUAUUAAGUAAAAAAAAAAAAAAAAAAACUUACAUGAGAUUAUUUCUAAUUGGGCUUAAUUGUUAAAUUUAUAAGUAGAGAUAAAUUGAUUUCAAGUUGUUACUUCAACUUGAGAAUUGAUUGGAAAUUAGAUAAUUGCUAAGUUAAAUUGUAGUGGAUUUUAAAACCCUAGUAGCUUCAAUCUCUUGAAUUAUUUUGUUAGUCUAUUUGCCUUUAAUUUAAUAGCAUCUUUAUUUUUAAUUUUUUCAAACAAAUAUUCUCUUUUCUAAGUAGGGUAGAGUUAUAGUUUAGUUAGAUUAAAUUUUGUUUUCUUAAAUAUUAACAACCCUUAUGAGUUCGACCUCGUUAUUCCUAAUUUAUACUCUAAUAGACUCAUUCACUUGCAAGCAUAUUAAAAUUAGCACAAUAAUAAAAUGCUAUAUAACUACUUGUUAGUAGGAUGCCAUCCAUGAUGCUAGCUUCCGCUGAUUGGUUGAUAUGGUGUUAGCCCACCAAUUUAAUAUGUGAUCCUUCACCCAUCCUUGAAUUUCUCUAACUUCAUCAUACUUAAUUAUGGAGUUUUGAAUUAAAGAUUGCCACAUUCCUCUACAAAUAAAUUGUUCUCCCAGAAUUAAUAUUAAACAAUUUAAAUUCAUCCUGCAUUGUGCUAAGGGCGGUUGCUAGCCCCAAUAAAGCCAGCCAUUCUUACAAUGACUUUUGAUGCUAAUGGAAUAGGAUUUAAAAAAAAAAAAGAUUUUAAAAAAGUUGCAACUCUUUUAAUAUAACUAUUUAAUUUAGACUCACCUCAAAUAAGUUCAAAAUUGUGAGGAAUAGAAGUUUCCAGAUUACAGCUGCAGCUCAGCAGAAGAUUUUGAGAUUGCAGCUCAAAUAUAGUUAGUUAUUAGCUUAGCCCGAGUUAUUAGUAAUUUCUUUUUGAUGAAAUUGAAUGUUGACUAACGACGCAAGAAGUAAAAGUUGUCGGCUGUGCUUAAUUUAGAAUAAUAUAUCUUUUUGUGUUGAUGAACGCAAUUCAAAUCACCUUUCCCUUUUACGAUUGUCAUUGGCAUCCGAUUCCAGCAACACUCUUUUUGCAUUCAUUCGCUUAUUUCUACUGUUUCUUCGGGAAAGAGUUGUUGUUCAUGAUCAUGAAAAUGUUUUAUUUUGAUAAAGGGAAAAUUGCACCUAUACUCCCUAUAUUCAAUGAAAUGUAUAUGGAUUUCGUCUUCCCCUCAGUUUUUUUCCCUCUCCUCUUUUCCUCCCCUCUUCUCUCUUUUUAUUUCUUCAAUCCAAACUUACUGUCACUUAAGUUUUUAAAAAUGAUCAUACAGACACCCUUUUACCCUUUUACUCUAUUAACUUAGAAAAAUUGACUCUAAACUUUAUAAUAUACAAAAAUAUAAUAUUAAAAUGCCUGUGAUGUGUGUGCGUAUAUAUAUAUAAUUUAAUAUGAUUAAUUUGAGAUAUGUUUUAUUAUUAAUAUUUGUAAAAGCAAGAUUUAUUUUAAAUUUUUUAAUAAAUAAAAAUAUGAUAUUCAAAUAAAUACAAAAAUAUUUUUAUUUUUUAUUAUUUUGAAUAUUAUAAAAAAUCUAUAUAUUAUUAAUAUGCCAAUCAAUUUUUUGUUAAUAAUAAAAUUUAUUUUACCCAAAUAUUUUUUACAAAUAUAUUUAUAAUAGGUACAAGCGUAAUACUAUAAGUAAAUAUAAUAAUUUUUGUUUUGAAGAUAUUUCAAUUAUUAAAACACUUAUUUUAAUAUCAUAGGUAUCUUAGAGAAAGAUUUUAUUAUUAAUGGUAUAUUUUCAUUUAUUAAAAGACAUUAAAGUAAAUUUUCUUACUUAUUAUAUUAAAAGAAUAUAAUGGUUAAAAAGGAUAAUGUGUGACGAUGUGAGCAUUUAUGAAACCUUAGAGGUCUACUUAUUCAUUUAAGCAAAGCAUGAGGGCUUAGGUAUCAUUUUUCCUUCAGUAAACUAUCAAAAUUUAGCUAUAAUAUUAUGAGCAAAUAGUACAAUAUCAAUAUAUUUAUGGGAGAUUAGAUAAAGAAUAUUAUUACCACCCUUUUUGGUUAAAACUUUUUCUAACGGAUGUGAAAAAGCUUAAUAAUAAAGGCAAACAAAGUUUUUUAUUUGCGGCCAGCAACGAGUGCAAAGGAACAUAUGAUCUGGACUGAUUUGAGCCAUUAUGAGUCCUUUUGAAUAAUAUUGUUUUGCUGCGCUUGGGAGGACUUAAACUUACUUUACAACUUCAUUGAAUGUUCAUCAAAAGGAAAAUAAAUAAAUAAAUAAAUAAUCGAUCUUGCAUAGAUUAUUUUUCUUUUCUUUUUUUUUUCCCCUGAUUAGUUGGGAGGAUAUUUUGGUAAUGGUUUUGAUGGCUUUCUUAGGAGAUUAAUUAUUUAAUUUCCUCUUCACUUUUAUGCUUUUGCAGCUAAUUGACGUUCGCUAUAUAAUUAGCAAUGAAUUAAACUACUUAAAAGAGAAGCAUAUAGUAGUGUACACAUCUUCCUCAGAGAUCAGAAUAAAUAAAUUAUGGUGGUGUAAAACUUCUACACAAUUUCCAUCCAUCUUUUUCCCAAUCGAUAAUCACAAUCGACCAUGCAAAGAUUGAAAAGAAGGAACUAGCUUGAAGAAUCUAGUGAAAAAACUUGGAACAAAAUAACAUAAUAGUUACAAAUAUAAGAACUCUACAUCCUUAUUUAUAUCAAGAGUUUAUAAUAUUAAAUUACAAUCUUUGUAAUAGAAACACUUUAUUAAAUGAAGGAGGAAUAACUUAAAAGCAUCGAUCGAUCGAGACUGCAAUAAUACAACAAAGAUUAAAGAGGCGUUCAUACAAAGAUUCAUAAAACUAAACAUGGGUUUCCUGGGGGCUCCUGGAAACUUCUUUCCCGGAAACUUUCAAAAGUUCUUUCCAUCGCGUCUGACUUUUUUGAGAAAUGACGCGAACACAGUACGAUUGAGUUAUCGUGUUCUUCCAACAUCACUGACCCGCUGAGGAUUUUUUGUGUUGGUUCAUCAGCCGUCUGCUUAAGAGAACUAGUACUACUCAUGAUUUGCUCUUAUUCAGUAUAAUGAGUAUUUGCUCCUGAGAAGGCUUGCUAGCUCAGUGUUAAUGAGGCUAGCUAUAUAUGCUACAACAUGACUCAAAAACUUAACAGAGAACCAAAACCAUAUUCAUGAACCUCUCAUGAAUCAGAAUCAGAAUAAACAAAGGAAUUGCAUUCCACCUUUCUCAUGACAAAAAUAAUGCCGAUAAAGGUAAAUUUGAGAAUCGAAUAAUUCAAUAAUGAAUCAAGAAUAAUUCGAUGAUCAGAAUAACGGCAGAUGGACGCGAAAAUCAGAAACAAAGUGGCAGCGGUUUUGUGGCUUUCGUGUGGUUUUUCUGGGCGGUGAUUGACGUCGAUGACGCUGAUGUGUGGUCAUCGAUGUCUGAUGAAUGUGAGGGUGGGUUUUAUUGUAACAUAUGUACUUUUAUUUUCUAGAUAAGUGUAUUAUUUUUUUCUUCAACAUAAAAUUUUUAAAAUCAUUAGAUUUAUUACAAAUUGUCACUGGUAAAUUUUUGACUUCACACGAUGAAUAAUGAAUGUAGGUUGUCAAAAUUGGCAUGGGUGUUAAUGGAUUGUGUUUAGAAUAAUUUAAAUUUGACGCCAUAUGAAAUCAAGUCAGCUCAAACGCUAUCCAACAGCAGUACAGUCAGAUUUUAUUUCAACACAAAGGUUUGGCAUUAGCUUAAUUGUUAACAAUAAUAAUAGUUAUAAUAAUAAUAAUUUUUUCCUCUUUUUUUUAUUAUUAUUUUAUCUCUCUUCCUUUGUUCUCUCCUCUUCUUCUUCUCUUUUUUUUUUCUUUCUCUCUCCUGCAAUUUCUUUUCAAUUUCAUCUUCUUAAUCAACAUCAUCGUCAUCACAAAUAUCUUCUUCUUUCUCCUGUCAAUUUCGUUUCUUCUUCUUCUUCAUCAACAUUAAAAUUCUGUUUCAUCUUCAUCAUCGUCAUCACAAUUACAUCAUCUUCAUCAUCAUCACCACAGUUACAUCAUCAAUUCAUACUUUUCAAUGGAAAGAGGGGUAUUUUUGGAAUAUUAAAAAAAUAAUGGGGAUGUCUUCUUCACGAGGGGAAAUGGGAUUCUGAUUCCCAACUCUCUCCUGAAAUCAGAAACUCAGUAAUCACUUCAUAUUUUGGAUGGAACCAUAUAAGUUAUUCUCAUUCUUUUUUUUUUUAAACGAAAUUAUCCCCAUUCUUAAUUUCAAUUUAACAAAUAAAUAAAUUUUUUAUUAUGAUUCCGCUAUUUCCAUUCCGAUUCCAAAAAUGUAAACACACCAUAAAAAUAAUAUUAUUCAUUUUAUCGGGCCCUGACUAUUAUAAAGCGGAACCUGUCACUUGCGUUGGAACUACGGCCUAUAGGUUGAGGCGUUGAGCGUAGCUUCAAAAAUGACCUUAAAGAGGAAAAUAUCAUUACACACAAUCUCUCUCUCUCUCAUAAUUAAGUUCUUCUCUAGGGAUGGCAAUGGGCACCGCCCGCAGCGGGUUUGCCAUUACCAAACCCAAACCCGCACAAAAUUUAAAUUACCAAAUCCACCCGCAACCCGCAGCGGGUUUUAAUUUUUUAAAAAAAACCCACCCGCAGCGGGUUUUAACAAUUACCAAACCCGCAAUGGUAUCCGGCGGAUUUUUUACAGGUUUCCGUAUUUAAAAUCACAAAUAUUUAAUAUAUAAAUUUAUAAUAAUAACCUCAAGUUCCAUAUAACAUAUUCAAUUUUAUAUUUAAACAGUGUAAAUGAAAAAUUAAAAUUUCCACAUCAAUUCAACACAAAUUCUCAAAUUUAAGUAUAAAUUAUACAAAUCUAUUUAAAAAACACAAACUAAUAUCUAAAAAUAAUAAUUACAUUUCAUAUUAUCAUUUAAAACAAGAUCAAAGAGAAUAUAUUUAUUUUAUUCACCACCAUAAGCACCCAUCUAACACAAUGCCUAAAAUAAUAAUUAAGAUUAAUAUUUUCAAAUACUAAUUCGAAGGGAAAUGCCUUUAGUUUUCUUUAGGUUAUGACUUUAGAAUAAGAGAUAAGCCAUAUACACACAUACACAACUUUGAGCCUUUUGCUAUUUGGUAAUUUGAUUAAUUACAUUAUUUUCUUUAUAUAUUUUUAUAUUUAAAUUAAAUUAAAAAUAUUUGAAAAAAAUUAUUGCGGGUUUGGUGGAUAUCCAUGCGGGUAUCCACCGGGUAUAAGAUUAAUACCAAACCCACCCGCAUCCAUAUGCGGGUUUUAAUUUAUAAUACUAAACCCGCCCGCAACGGAUAAAAUUACCCGCAACGGGCGGGUUUUGGCGGGUGGGUUUGGGCGGGUUUACGGGUUUGCGGGUACAAUUGCCAUCCCUAUUCUUCUCGCACCCUUUUUUUUGGGGGGGGGGGGGGGGGUUGCAAAUAUCUUGUAGAAAGAUGAAAAUUCUUGUCCAUUCUUAAUUAAUUUGGGAUCAUAUUUCAGUUUAAGUACAUGUAUAGUCUCUAUGUACUCAAAAGUACCUUAAAAAUACUUGCUAUUAAAUAUAUUACAUUCAUAUUCUUAUUCUUUUAUUUGCUUUUAAUGUAAUACUCUUGCAAUAAUAUUUUUGGGUAUAUUAAUUGAUAUUAAAAAAAGGCUAAUUAACCACAAAAGUAAAAUUCUUAUAAAACAUUUUAAUUCUUUUAAAUUUUAAUCUUUAUUCAAAUUAUCUUAAAAGAAAAAAAGAAAAAAAAUCAUUAUACGGAAUCUCUCUCUCAUAAUUAUGUUCUCCUCUUUCAUUUGCUUGGUGCCUUUUUUUUAUUUUUAAAGUUGGCAAAUCACUUGAAUAUAAAAAUAUGAAAAGUUGUUGUGUAUCCUUAAGGUCUUUAUUUUUGGCGCUUAGGAUUUGAUUUAUUAAAGGUUUUUUCUGUUUUGAAAAUUUUGCAUGUUCUUAUUAAGCCAUGUCUAUUUUCAAUUUUUUUUCUUCAUAUAGCAUUGCCUUAAAAACUAAUAAAAUAUGUACAUAUUUUGAGUGUUUUUAGAAGAGAGCGAUACUAUAAAUUGAAAAUCGAAAGGGGAAGAAAUUGGAGGGCAGUUUUGGAAUCGUUGGGGUCUUAUUGGGGUAUCUUGAAUAGAGUGGUUUUAUGAGGAAUUUUUAGGGGUGUCAAAAUCUCGAGUCCCCUUAUGAACACUCAGGACACAUACCUUUCAAAUCCAUUGGGCAUAGACUAGGUUCAAGGCUAACACAUAGUCACGUACCCUUUAAAGGGGUCAAUUGCUCAAAAGUGACUUCUCUGUGAAGCUAAGGAUAUUUCUUUGGAUAAUUUGUACUUGAAGUUUGUAACUAGAAAGACAAGUAACCGCAGAAUUUAAAGCACUUUUGAUUUAACUGAUACUGUAAGCAUAGUUCUAUAAUUCUCCAAGAGAAAUACAAUACUGAAUUCAAUAAGCUACAACUGAGAGCUAAAAUGCAGAAUUUUAUCUACUUAUAGGUUACAAGCUAGUAGCAUGUGUAAUAUUUAUAGUAGAAGUUAGUUACAAUAAUACAAAUACUCUCUUACCUUGAUUUUAGUUUCUCUGCUUUUCUCUGUAUCCAAAUACAUCGUUAUAAAGCUUCACAAAAAUUAAUCAAACCAUUUAAUAUUUUAUAUCCUUCAAAUUACAUGCACCAUUUCCGUUAGUGGUUGGUUCCUUUCUCUCCAACGUCGAAGUUCUCCACAAUUAUUUAUAGCAAGGUUGUAAUGUCACAAUCUUGGAUCGAAACAGGACAAAAACACCUUAUUAAACGAAAGUCGAACAAAUUGAAAGCACAUUUGUCAGACGAGGUUGUAAUAAAUAUUUUCAUUGAAAAAUAAAGAUUUUAGAGAGGCAUUCAUUCAAAGAUUCAUAAAAUAAAAAAGUGAAAUUACAAAUCUAUUUACUUGUAAAACUGAAAUUUCAAGCUGCUCAAAUAACACAGUUCUAGUAAAAGUAGAAUAAUAAUUACAACUCAGAAACUUGUCUCCCGGGGGAGAUUGGACAAUAAAUAUUGAUCACCAAUCUUUUAGUUAAACUUUUUUAAUAGAUGUGAAAAAGUCUGAUUUAAAAUUUUUUAUUUUUUUAAUUAUUAACUCAUGCAUCAUUCAAGUUAGAACUUAAGACCUCAACUUUAAUAAAUCUGCUAUUUACCACUGGAGCGCAGGACCUCUCUUGACUAGGCACGGAUCUGAUCCGGGCCGAUUUGGAUUUGUAGUACUGGAUCUGAUCCGGGCUGAUUUGGGUUUUGACCCAUUAGCGUUAGCAGGAGCCGUUUGAGUAUCCUUUUGCGGAUUUUGUUGUGAUUGAGGGUAGUUUCGGUAGGAUUUAUACAUCUUUUCCGUCCUCUCUUGAGUUUUGCCCAAAGGACCUACGUGAAAGCUCAACGUCCAUGUGAUUGGUUGUAAUUGAUGUUUGCUAUAUAUGCUCAAAGGCUUAGCAAAGAAUCAAACAUAUUCACGAUGAAACCUCUCAAGAAUCACAACGAAGGUCGUUUUCUUCUCUAUUUCCGUGAGACUUCUUUUCCACUGAAAUUAAAACUCGAAAGAAUUCUGAUUUGCAAAAAUGAAUGAUCAGAAUUCAGAAAAUUCUUUUUGCAGAAGAGGAAUUAUUGAUUACUACUUAGACUGAUUAAAAAAAAAAUUGCUUCUUCAUUUUGUAAAAAUUUCAAUUUCUUUUUGAUGAAAUUGAAUGUUGACUAACGACGCAAGAAGUAAAAGCUGUCGGCUGUGCCUAAUUUAGAAUAAUAUAUCUUUUUGUGUUGAUGAACGCAAUUCAAAUCACCUUUCCCUUUUACGAUUGUCAUUGGCAUCCGAUUCCAGCAACACUCUUUCGCAUCCAUUCGCUUAUUUCUACUGUUUCUUCGGGAAAGAGUUGUUGUUCGUGAUCAUGAAAAUGUUUUAUUUUGAUAAAGGGAAAAUUGCACCUAUACUCCCUAUAUUUAAUGAAAUGUACAUGGAUCUCGUCUUCCCCUCAGUUUUUUUCCCUCUCCUCUUUUCCUCUCCUCUUCUCUCUUUUUAUUUCUUCAAUCCAAACUUACUGUAACUUAAGUUUUUAAAAAUGAUCAUAUAGACACCCUUUUACCCUUUUACUCUAUUAACUUAGAAAAAUUGACUCU
RNAcentral lists this long non-coding RNA (9313 nucleotides) under Citrus x clementina. RNAcentral describes it as "Citrus clementina (C. clementina) long non-coding RNA (CCLE_LNC000247)". Lineage: Eukaryota; Viridiplantae; Streptophyta; Magnoliopsida; Sapindales; Rutaceae. The record is from RNAcentral.